CGGACGGGUGAGUAAUGUCUGGGAAACUGCCCGAUGGAGGGGGAUAACUACUGGAAACGGUAGCUAAUACCGCAUAACGUCGCAAGACCAAAGAGGGGACCUUCGGGCCUCUUGCCAUCGGAUGUGCCCAGAUGGGAUUAGCUAGUAGGCGGGGUAACGGCUCACCUAGGCGACGAUCCCUAGCUGGUCUGAGAGGAUGACCAGCCACACUGGAACUGAGACACGGCCAG
Molecule: ribosomal RNA, 230 nt
Filed under: uncultured bacterium
Lineage: Bacteria
Description: partial 16S ribosomal RNA
Rfam family: Bacterial small subunit ribosomal RNA
Source: RNAcentral